Molecule: long non-coding RNA, 793 nt
Filed under: Oryza brachyantha (malo sina)
Lineage: Eukaryota; Viridiplantae; Streptophyta; Magnoliopsida; Poales; Poaceae
Description: long non-coding RNA (OBRA_LNC003305)
Source: RNAcentral
UGGGGCGGGCGGCGGCGGCGGCGAGGAGGAGGGGGGAUUUGACCCCGACGAGAGGAAGACCGCAGGAAGGAGAAGAGGCCGGGUCGGGUCGGAGUGUUGUUGCGUGGUUGGGUCGGGUCAAACCCAACCGGGCAUGGAAUGGAAUGCUACUCUGCUACUACUACCUAGCUCCGUCUAAAAUGAUUUAUUUUCUUAGACUAGGUACAAUAGUAAACUAUAAGCCAAUUAUAAAUAUAUUUUAAAGAGAUAUAAACGUAUUUUAAAGAGAUAGGAAGGAAAAGAGAACAGAGGUGAGCUCCUAAUUUAUAGCCAGCUACAUACGAACUCCAAAACACAGUGUGUAUAUGACAUGUGAGACCAUGUACUAAUGUUUUGGUAGGUAACUAUUGUAUGAAUUGGCUAUUAGAUUGACUAUAGAUGGAUUGGAGCUAGUAGUUGUCUAUACUAUUGAAUCUUAAGAAAUCCAUCUAAACGGGAUUCCGUCCCAUAGUCGUUUCGAUAUUUGGUCGGAUUCUCUUGUUUAUCUAAUAAAUAUUUUAUUACAUAUCUAUUAUAUUAUAAGAUUUUUUGACAUCAUGUAAAUACAUAGAUAAACUCACAAAGUGUUAUAAUAUAGGAAAAUGAGAGUACUACGUUUGAGCAAUAAAUGUGCGUGAGUUCAGUAAAUUAUAGAUAAAUACGUUAAAUUUGAAAAUCAGUGGAUAAAUAUAUUGGGACUUAAAAAAGGUAAAUGAUAUUUUAGUUUUUUUAGCUUCGCAUAGAUAUAUAUGAAGUGGGCGUCUUUUCAGGUCAG